AGGUAAAAGGGUCGUAGGGAGACAGCCAGGAGCUCGAUGUCAGGGGUGCACAGUUUCUCUCUCACUACAACUGUGGAGCACCAGCGGGUGUUUACAUAGAGACACACACCGCCACCAUGUUGUUUACCGGUGCGCUCACUGUCCCGGUCGAGUCUGAGAGGGGGUGCGAAUCCAUCAAUAUGCGUCGUGCUUUCUUCAUCGUUCUUAUUUAACCACGUUUCGGUGAAAGCAAGAAUAGAGGCACUUCUGUAUUCAUGCAUGUGGUUAACGUUGGCUUGUAACUCAUCCAUUUUGUUGCGGAGGGAGCGCACAUUGGCCAAGAUGAUAGACGGAAGUGGCCGUUGUUUAAAUUUCUCCCGUUUAAGCCUAGCUUUAAUUCCUCCUUUUUUCUUGCCCCUUCUAGUUACCUUUUUUUGAUUGUGUGCGCUGGAUGAAUUCUUGCGGAUUAUUUCAUCGGGAAAAGUAUCCGUGGUGCAGGAUAACUACAGAAAUCAUCAUUUUUCAGAUUAUGGCGUUUGUGAGGGCUGUGUGGCAGGAGGGCGAUAAAGUUUUUGAAGGGGUGCUGCCAAUAAAUUGGAUUGACGAAGAAAGGAAAGUCCUCAGAUGGCCAAAAAAGGGACGGGCGUCGGCCUGGAAAAACAAAACGAAUCCAGCUGGAGACUGGCUGGACUUUCCCCUCAUAAAAAUAAAAUUUACUUCAGAAAGUGAAAAGGAGUGCACUGAGUUUAAUUAUACAUCGUCAGCACAGACAGAUUCAGAAGACCCUCCAGAACUGGGGAAAAGGGCAAUAAAAAGAAAGCAAUUUUCUGAUUGUAUUGAAGAACCAGAACUAUCAGAUGAAGAACCCAGACCCAAAAAAAGCAAAAGCACAGGACUGCUCAGCAAGCCACCAAAGCCACCAAAUAUGACUAAUGAGACACCCAGUGUCAGAAACCAGGACCAGACCUCUUUGGAUAAUACCCCAACUCUAGAUUCAUCAUAUACCCACCCCCAGAGGAGCCCCUCCCCCUCCAAUCAUUCUGAUGUUGGGGGUGAGUCCUGGCAGGAUAGCUCACCUUCAUCUCCAAGGAACCAGUCCAUAAGGAGCCCCUCUCCCUCAUCCAGUCAUUUUGGGAACCACAGAGGAGGCUCCCAUUCUGGUGGUCCUCCUAGAGCCUCAAACAGCCAGUCCAUAGGGACCCCCUCUCCCUCAUCCAGUCAUUCCAGGAACCACAGAGGAGGCUCUCGUCCUGGUGGUUCUUCUCGAGCCUCAAACGGCCAGUCCAUAAGGACCCCCUCUCCCUCAUCCAGUCAUUCUGGGAACCACAGAGGAGGCUCCCAUUCUGGUGGUCCUCCUAGAGCCUCAAACAGCCAGUCCAUAGGGACCCCCUCUCCCUCAUCCAGUCAUUCCAGGAACCACAGAGGAGGCUCUCGUCCUGGUGGUUCUUCUCGAGCCUCAAACGGCCAGUCCAUAAGGACCCCCUCUCCCUCAUCCAGUCAUUCUGGGAACCACAGAGGAGGCUCCCAUUCUGGUGGUCCUCCUAGAGCCUCAAACAGCCAGUCCAUAAGGACCCCCUCUCCCUCAUCCAGUCAUUCCGGGAACCACAGAGGAGGCUCUCGUCCUGGUGGUUCUUCUCGAGCCUCAAACGGCCAGUCCAUAAGGACCCCCUCUCUCUCAUCCAGUCAUUCCAGGAACCACAGAGGAGGCUCCCAUUCUGGUGGUUCUUCCCGAAGUUCAAACAGCCAGUCCAUGAGGAGCCCCUCUCCCUCACCCAGGAACCACAGAGGCUCCCGUCCUGGUGGUUCUCCUUUAGCUUCAAACAGCAUCAGGGCCCGCUCCCCCAGAGAGAGGAACAGUGUAUUCCCCAUGGAAAAUUACAAAUUCCAGAGAUGUGUGAAGAAAAAAUUGGUGGAGAUCAUGGAGGUGGUGAAAAGAAUUGAGGCGGACCACCAAAGGGGAGGGACAUACCUAUUAAAAACCAUGUCGACCAUGGACGAGGUCCUCAUGUUAGAAGACAAGCUCAAUCAGGAGGAGAGACAGGCUCUGAUGGCACAGUUAAGCAAGGUCGGGGGGAAGGACAUAAAAGACUGUGUUGCAAAAAUUUUGAACAGAUUGAUGACGAAUGGCCUGAUGUCCCAUUUCAAUAUGAUGGGCCAUGGUGGGAAGACAGCUUUUAAAGCAAUGACUCUCUAUGGCGUCCUAACAGCUGCUGUUAAAAAAUGGAGUGAAAGGGCCACCGACCAUGACAUCGGGAGAGCUGUGGCAGAUCAAUUAAAACAUGCGCCUGGACGCUCCGGUGGUGGAGGCAAGAACAAUUAAUAAAGGGA
Gadus morhua (Atlantic cod) is the source of this 2307-nucleotide long non-coding RNA. The record is from Ensembl. Lineage: Eukaryota; Metazoa; Chordata; Actinopteri; Gadiformes; Gadidae.